AUUAGGUUUAAUAACUCACUAAUUAGCAUUAAGGCUUAAAAGUGGCAAUUAGGGUUACCCAUUUAGCAAUUAGGGUUACAAUUAUAUAAAUUAGGGUUUAUAAUAUAAAUAUUAGGAUUUUCUAAAAAUUUAAUAUUUCUAAAUAUUAAUUAGGGUUUACCUAAUCAAUAUAAAAUUGUAUAAUACUUCACCUUAAUCAUAAUCACACAAUUACAUAGCAGUUUCGAACUCAAAUUGAGUUUUAAAUUAGGGUUUCUAAUUAAGGUUUCUAACUUUUAGAAAUUAGGGUUUUUAAG
Molecule: long non-coding RNA, 296 nt
Filed under: Panax ginseng (ginseng)
Lineage: Eukaryota; Viridiplantae; Streptophyta; Magnoliopsida; Apiales; Araliaceae
Description: long non-coding RNA (PGIN_LNC004155)
Source: RNAcentral